Molecule: ribosomal RNA, 460 nt
Filed under: uncultured bacterium
Lineage: Bacteria
Description: partial 16S ribosomal RNA
Rfam family: Bacterial small subunit ribosomal RNA
Source: RNAcentral
CCUACGGGAGGCAGCAGUGAGGAAUAUUGGUCAAUGGGCGCUGGCCUGAACCAGCCAAGUAGCGUGAAGGAUGACUGCCCUAUGGGUUGUAAACUUCUUUUGUCUGGGAAUAAAGUGUAGUAUGUAUACUGCUUUGCAUGUACCUUAUGAAAAAGGAUCGGCUAACUCCGUGCCAGCAGCCGCGGUAAUACGGAGGAUUCGAGCGUUAUCCGGAUUUAUUGGGUUUAAAGGGAGCGUAGGCGGGAUGUUAAGUCAGGGGGGAAAGUUGGCGGCUCAACCUUAGAACUGCAGUUGAUACUGGCAUCCUUGAGUACAGUAGAGGUAGGCGGAAUGCGUGGUGUAGCGGUGAAAUGCUUAGAUAUCACGAAGAACUCCGAUUGCGAAGGCAGCAUGCUGGACUGUAACUGACGCUGAUGCUCGAAAGUGUGGGUAUCAAACAGGAUUAGAUACCCUAGUAGUC